This 484-nucleotide ribosomal RNA is filed under the name uncultured bacterium. RNAcentral's name for it is "partial 16S ribosomal RNA". It matches the Rfam family "Bacterial small subunit ribosomal RNA", at positions 30 to 507 of the family's 1533-position model. The record is from RNAcentral.
AUUGAACGCUGGCGGCAGGCCUAACACAUGCAAGUCGAGCGGAUGAAUGGAGCUUGCUCCUGGAUUCAGCGGCGGACGGGUGAGUAAUGCCUAGGAAUCUGCCUGGUAUUUGGGGAUAACGUCCGGAAACGGGCGCUAAUACCGCAUACGUCCUGAUGUAGAAAGUGGGGGAUCUUUGGACCUCACGCUAUCAGAUGAGCCUAGGUCGGAUUAGCUAGUUGGUUGGGUAAAGGCCUACCAAGGCGACGAUCCGUAACUGGUCUGAGAGGAUGAUCAGUCACACUGGAACUGAGACACGGUCCAGACUCCUACGGGAGGCAGCAGUGGGGAAUAUUGGACAAUGGGCGAAAGCCUGAUCCAGCCAUGCCGCGUGUGUGAAGAAGGUCUUCGGAUUGUAAAGCACUUUAAGUUGGGAGGAAGGGCAGUAAGUUAAUACCUUGCUGUCUUGACGUUACCAACAGAAUAAGCACCGGCUAACUUCGUG